This 305-nucleotide ribosomal RNA is filed under the name uncultured bacterium. RNAcentral describes it as "bacterial SSU rRNA". It matches the Rfam family "Bacterial small subunit ribosomal RNA", at positions 334 to 655 of the family's 1533-position model. The record is from RNAcentral.
UUUACCUACGGGAGGCAGCAGUGGGGAAUAUUGCACAAUGGGCGAAAGCCUGAUGCAGCAACGCCGCGUGAAGGAAGACGGUUUUCGGAUUGUAAACUUCUGUUCUUAGUGAAGAAUAAUGACGGUAACUAAGGAGCAAGCCACGGCUAACUACGUGCCAGCAGCCGCGGUAAUACGUAGGGGGCAAGCGUUAUCCGGAUUUACUGGGUGUAAAGGGAGCGUAGACGGCAUAGCAAGUCUGAAGUGAAAGCCCAAGGCUCAACCAUGGGACUGCUUUGGAAACUGUUAAGCUAGAGUGCUGGAGG